Paramuricea clavata is the source of this 383-nucleotide non-coding RNA. The record is from the annotation of a GenBank genome assembly. Lineage: Eukaryota; Metazoa; Cnidaria; Anthozoa; Malacalcyonacea; Plexauridae.
CCGCUAUGUUGAUUUUCAUCUACAAAAAUUCUACAUAUACUAAUAGCAUGUACUGAACCUCUAAAGAACCUUGCAUCGUCCAUGAAAACUACAUGAUAUACAAAGUAACAUAUUCUUAAUACAAUUUCAUCUUUAAUUAUUCGGUUUAUUCCCGUGUUUCUGAUUGUUUUAAUCGAUAUUCUAUAAAUAUUGCUCUAUUAAAGUCCGUAUUCCCUGGACCCUGGUCGAUUAUCGUUCAAGCAAUUGAAUUCACCAAACGCAACUACUUUUCAAUAUAAAAAAUAUGUAGAUUUUUACUCACCAAGAACGUUUCUGCUUGUAACAUUUGUUAAAUUCGAGGUUAAAUUUCACAUGCGGCUAAAUCGAGGAAUGCACAUUCGCCC